Molecule: transfer RNA, 85 nt
Filed under: Felis catus (domestic cat)
Lineage: Eukaryota; Metazoa; Chordata; Mammalia; Carnivora; Felidae
Rfam family: tRNA
About the family: Transfer RNA (tRNA) molecules are approximately 80 nucleotides in length. Their secondary structure includes four short double-helical elements and three loops (D, anti-codon, and T loops). Further hydrogen bonds mediate the characteristic L-shaped molecular structure. tRNAs have two regions of fundamental functional importance: the anti-codon, which is responsible for specific mRNA codon recognition, and the 3' end, to which the tRNAs corresponding amino acid is attached (by aminoacyl-tRNA synthetases). tRNAs cope with the degeneracy of the genetic code in two manners: having more than one tRNA (with a specific anti-codon) for a particular amino acid; and 'wobble' base-pairing, i.e. permitting non-standard base-pairing at the 3rd anti-codon position.
Source: Rfam by way of RNAcentral
GCCUGGGUGGCUCAGUUGGUUGAGUGUCCGACUUCGGCUCAGGUCAUGAUCUCGCGGUUUGUGGGUGCGAGCCCCACGCCGGGCU